UUGUGGAGGAGGACGCCGAAGGUGGGGCUAAUGACUGGGGUGAAGUCGUAACAAGGUAGCCGUACCGGAAGGUGCGGCUGGAUCACCUCCUAACAGGGAGACAACAAAAUGUUUAAUAUUAUUAUUUUGUCACCUUAGGUCGAUCGGUAUCUCACGUUCUUAAUUUGUUAAGAAUUUCAUUUCCUAAGUUUUUCUAGGUCACACCCAUUAUUUUUCCUGGGCCAUUAGCUCAGGUGGUUAGAGCGCACCCCUGAUAAGGGUGAGGUCCCUGGUUCAAGUCCAGGAUGGCCCAUAUCUCUAUGUUGGGGGUAUAGCUCAGUUGGUAGAGCGCCUGCUUUGCAAGCAGGAUGUCAGCGGUUCGAGUCCGCUUACCUCCACUGAUUACCACCUCUUCCAUAACCGGUAGAAAGGAAAUGUUUUGAGUUGUGAUCAUUAUUCUGAACGAAUCUAGCUUCCUAAUGAAAUCAUUAAGAUGCUGGACUCAUUGAAUUAAUUUCAUUGUUUUCAGAGAACCUUGACAACUGCAUAGAUUAUUUUUAAAGACAAUAAGCAUCUUUAAUGAUGCAGAUUUAUUAUUUGUGCGAAUGCAUUAAUAACAAUUCUAUUAAGCUGAUGCUUCAAUUUUGAAGUUAUUGGUCAAGCUACAA
RNAcentral lists this unclassified non-coding RNA (647 nucleotides) under uncultured Prochlorococcus sp. RNAcentral describes it as "partial 16S-23S ribosomal RNA intergenic spacer; may also contain 16S ribosomal RNA and 23S ribosomal RNA". The stretch from base 305 to 377 matches the Rfam family "tRNA". The record is from RNAcentral. Lineage: Bacteria; Bacillati; Cyanobacteriota; Cyanophyceae; Synechococcales; Prochlorococcaceae.